GACGAACGCUGGCGGCGUGCCUAAUACAUGCAAGUCGAACGAACUCUGGUAUUGAUUGGUGCUUGCAUCAUGAUUUACAUUUGAGUGAGUGGCGAACUGGUGAGUAACACGUGGGAAACCUGCCCAGAAGCGGGGGAUAACACCUGGAAACAGAUGCUAAUACCGCAUAACAACUUGGACCGCAUGGUUCGAGUUUGAAAGAUGGCUUCGGCUAUCACUUUUGGAUGGUCCCGCGGCGUAUUAGCUAGAUGGUGGGGUAACGGCUCACCAUGGCAAUGAUACGUAGCCGACCUGAGAGGGUAAUCGGCCACAUUGGGACUGAGACACGGCCCAAACUCCUACGGGAGGCAGCAGUAGGGAAUCUUCCACAAUGGACGAAAGUCUGAUGGAGCAACGCCGCGUGAGUGAAGAAGGGUUUCGGCUCGUAAAACUCUGUUGUUAAAGAAGAACAUAUCUGAGAGUAACUGUUCAGGUAUUGACGGUAUUUAACCAGAAAGCCACGGCUAACUACGUGCCAGCAGCCGCGGUAAUACGUAGGUGGCAAGCGUUGUCCGGAUUUAUUGGGCGUAAAGCGAGCGCAGGCGGUUUUUUAAGUCUGAUGUGAAAGCCUUCGGCUCAACCGAAGAAGUGCAUCGGAAACUGGGAAACUUGAGUGCAGAAGAGGACAGUGGAACUCCAUGUGUAGCGGUGAAAUGCGUAGAUAUAUGGAAGAACACCAGUGGCGAAGGCGGCUGUCUGGUCUGUAACUGACGCUGAGGCUCGAAAGUAUGGGUAGCAAACAGGAUUAGAUACCCUGGUAGUCCAUACCGUAAACGAUGAAUGCUAAGUGUUGGAGGGUUUCCGCCCUUCAGUGCUGCAGCUAACGCAUUAAGCAUUCCGCCUGGGGAGUACGGCCGCAAGGCUGAAACUCAAAGGAAUUGACGGGGGCCCGCACAAGCGGUGGAGCAUGUGGUUUAAUUCGAAGCUACGCGAAGAACCUUACCAGGUCUUGACAUACUAUGCAAAUCUAAGAGAUUAGACGUUCCCUUCGGGGACAUGGAUACAGGUGGUGCAUGGUUGUCGUCAGCUCGUGUCGUGAGAUGUUGGGUUAAGUCCCGCAACGAGCGCAACCCUUAUUAUCAGUUGCCAGCAUUAAGUUGGGCACUCUGGUGAGACUGCCGGUGACAAACCGGAGGAAGGUGGGGAUGACGUCAAAUCAUCAUGCCCCUUAUGACCUGGGCUACACACGUGCUACAAUGGAUGGUACAACGAGUUGCGAACUCGCGAGAGUAAGCUAAUCUCUUAAAGCCAUUCUCAGUUCGGAUUGUAGGCUGCAACUCGCCUACAUGAAGUCGGAAUCGCUAGUAAUCGCGGAUCAGCAUGCCGCGGUGAAUACGUUCCCGGGCCUUGUACACACCGCCCGUCACACCAUGAGAGUUUGUAACACCCAAAGUCGGUGGGGUAACCUUUUAGGAACCAGCCGCCUAAGGUGGGACAGAUGAUUAGGGUGGU
Molecule: ribosomal RNA, 1491 nt
Filed under: Lactiplantibacillus plantarum
Lineage: Bacteria; Bacillati; Bacillota; Bacilli; Lactobacillales; Lactobacillaceae
Description: bacterial SSU rRNA
Rfam family: Bacterial small subunit ribosomal RNA
Source: RNAcentral